This 537-nucleotide ribosomal RNA is filed under the name uncultured bacterium. RNAcentral's name for it is "bacterial SSU rRNA". It matches the Rfam family "Bacterial small subunit ribosomal RNA", at positions 336 to 864 of the family's 1533-position model. The record is from RNAcentral.
CUCCUACGGGAGGCAGCAGUGGGGAAUUUUGCGCAAUGGGCGAAAGCCUGACGCAGCAACGCCGCGUGGGUGAUGAAGGUCUUCGGAUCGUAAAACCCUGUCGUUGGGGACGAAGGCGGUUUGGUGAACAGCCAGAUUGCUUGACGGUACCCGGAGAGGAAGCCCCGGCUAACUCUGUGCCAGCAGCCGCGGUAAUACAGAGGGGGCAAGCGUUAUUCGGAAUUAUUGGGCGUAAAGGGCGCGUAGGCGGUUUUUUAAGUCAGAUGUGUAAUCCCCGAGCUCAACUUGGGAACUGCAUCUGAGACUGGAAGGCUAGAGUGCUGGAGAGGGUGGUGGAAUUCCUCGUGUAGCGGUGAAAUGCGUAGAGAUGAGGAGGAACACCAGUGGCGAAGGCGGCCACCUGGACAGCAACUGACGCUGAGGCGCGAAAGUGUGGGUAGCAAACAGGAUUAGAUACCCUGGUAGUCCACACUGUAAACGAUGAACACUUGGUGUGGAGGGAGUUGACCCCUUCCGUGCCGGAGCUAACGCGUUAAG